RNAcentral lists this non-coding RNA (30 nucleotides) under Mus musculus (house mouse). The record is from RNAcentral. Lineage: Eukaryota; Metazoa; Chordata; Mammalia; Rodentia; Muridae.
UGAGCUUUCGACCCUAGUGCCCAGAGACUC